This is a long non-coding RNA of Epinephelus fuscoguttatus (brown-marbled grouper), 187 nucleotides long. RefSeq lists it as uncharacterized. Lineage: Eukaryota; Metazoa; Chordata; Actinopteri; Perciformes; Serranidae. The record is from RefSeq and is a predicted model, not a curated record. The transcript has 3 exons.
AGGCGUUUGUGGAAGCUACUUGGCCGAGUUGGAGUCAAUGGACCUCUGUAAUGAUGAAAUGCCAAUAUGCAACUCCAGCCCCUACCACACUGUGCCAUCACAGCAAGCAAGGAAUGAUUUCGGUGCCAGCUACGCACAUGGCUCCAGGUCAGGUGACUUCAGGUCACCUGGCCUAGGUAAAGAUCCC